Molecule: long non-coding RNA, 206 nt
Filed under: Ananas comosus (pineapple)
Lineage: Eukaryota; Viridiplantae; Streptophyta; Magnoliopsida; Poales; Bromeliaceae
Description: long non-coding RNA (ACOM_LNC031816)
Source: RNAcentral
CACUAAAUAUUUACAUAUCAAAAAAUUAUAAAUUUGAAUUAUGGAAUCACUAGAUGCCUUGAUGAUAGGUAUUUAAAAUAUAAUAUUUUUGAUUUAGAUAUUGUAGAUUGUAUCAGUUAAGAAAUAUAUAUUUUUGAGAUGUCGAAAAGCUAUUUCUACGAGUUGUUAAUGUAUUGAUAAAUAUAUUUGGUAUCUUUUGAUUGCGU